This is an RNA transcript of Eublepharis macularius, 5157 nucleotides long. It is a transcript of the gene named microtubule associated protein 9, with no coding region annotated. The record is from RefSeq and is a predicted model, not a curated record. NCBI's taxonomy places the organism in Eukaryota, Metazoa, Chordata, Lepidosauria, Squamata, Eublepharidae. The transcript has 15 exons.
GGCCGGGGCAGGGUAAACAGCGGAGCUCUGGGCGCGCUCCCUCUCGCCCGAGACAAGAACCUUCUUACGACGCGAGGUUUUGCCUCCACUGGAUCACAGUGAGUAUAUAAGAUUAAUUUCAUCAGAUCAAAACCAUGUCCGAUGAAGAUAUUGUCACCACUUUAGCCUACAGCAAGAGCCCAAAGUUCUCCAAAAGAACCACUUUUCAGGAAGAACUACAAGAAGCACUUUUUGCUCGUGCAGCAAGGAAGAACAGUACUGGAUAUUUGGAUGACUUUGAGAGUGAUGAAGAGGGUACGAUAGAGGAGCUUCCAGAAAAUGUAGAAAGCACCCCAAAGAAAUCUGUAGCCUUUGCCAUUCCUCUGUCCAGCUACAGUCUUGGCAAUGUGGGCAUUUUGCAGAGUCAAAGCGCAGAAGACUUGGUGGCUUCAUCAUACAGCUAUGGGAGACCUCAGCAAGUGUCCAUGUUGGAGAGUGAGACUUCAGGUGAAAAGAGGCAGGCUGUCCUUUCUUCACUAACUGAAAAUUCUGGGUCAUAUGAAGGGAGUGCAACAAAAACAUCCGUUUCUUUUGAAAUAUCUCCACCAGAUGACUAUUCUUGGAAAAGGGAAACUGUUGAUUACUUGGCUUUGUCUGAGGAUGAAGAGAGAACUCAAGCAACAUGCAUGCUGGAAAAUAAAAGUCUGAAUGAAAGGAGACAAGGAGAUGACUCAGAACUUUCAAUUUCUGAAGAAGAAUUAGAUGUUGGGGCGGAUUGGGUUCAACAGAACAAGGAACCUAUGACUGAGCUGCCAAUGGAGAGGAGUGACAUGGUGCCACGCAAGCCUGAGAUCAAGCCAGUGCCAAAGCCCAGGGAAUUCAAGACUAAGACAGCAUCAGCUUCAGCUGAGAAUAUCAGCAUUCCUGCACUAGAUGAUUAUUCAAAGCCAUCUCCUCAACCGAGAAGUGUUUUAAGGAAAAGCACCCACCUGGAGGACUACGAAGGUUCCAAGGCAGAGGACAGAACUUCUUACAGCCACAGAUUGUUUUCAUCGUCCCUCACAAGGUUGAGUGAUCAAGUGAUGAAAUCUGAGCAAAGAGCACUUUCUGAAAGUCCUGCUCCUGAGGGUCCCUGGAUAGCAAGCUCCUCAUUGCUAUUCCCUAUUCAUUUUUCAUCAGUGGUUGAGAGAACUGGAGAUUCCAAACUGAUAGUAUCAGAGGAAGAAUCUUCAAAAGACCAGGAACAAAAAGAAACUGACAACUGCAGUGAUGUGAAAUUGCAGGACAGUGGCAGAGAAUCUCCCUCUGUGAUAGAACUAAUGAUGACAACAGUUUAUGAGAAAACUAAGAAACUGAACGAGUCAACUGAAGGUUACCUUGAAGGAAAGCUUCAGACAUCAGGAUAUGAUGCUACUGAAGAUGGCUCAGAUGAGACAACUAAGGAAGAUAAGUCUGAACAUAAGAUAGCACUAAGUACUUCAAAGGUUGCACUGAAUGUGUCAAAGGAUUCAGUAAAGGAAGAAGUUGAAGAAAAAGAGACAGCUCCACAAAAAACAAAGCCUCCAGCAGGCAGAUCUUUGAGCUCUACAUACUUGAAGAAAACGGGGAAGUCCAUUCCUAUCCCAUUAAGUACAUCUUCUCAAUACUUAGGAACAUUAAAGGUCUUGGACAACAAGCAUUUACAGAAAUUUAGCGCUGAACUUGACAAAGCAGAUAGUUUACGGGCAGCUGUUUAUCAGGACUGGUUGGAAAAGAAAAGAAUCUUCCUGCUGGAACUACAAAGGAUAAAAAGAAAUAAAGCAAAGAACUUGCAAGAUAAAAGUGAAAAGAAGGAAGCUGCUAAGAAAGAAGAAGCAACUGCAUCCUUUGAAGCUUGGAAAGCUAUGAAAGAAAAGGAAGCAAAGAAAUUAGCUGAAAAAAAGAGGCUUGAAGAAGAAAAGAAAAAGAAGGAAGCAGAACUAAAUGAGAAGAAAAAAGAAGAAGCACAAAAGGCAGCUUUUGAGAAAUGGAAAGAAAAGAAAACUGAAUAUUUAAAACAGCAAAUAAGAAGGGAGAAAAGAGUUGAAAGACUGAAAAAAAAGAAAGAAGAGGAGGUUGUUGCAGAGAAGAAGAAAGAUAGCCGGUCUGCUGUUGAAAAAUGGAAUGAGAAAAAAGAAGAAUUCAUGAAGCAAAAGAAAAAAGAAAAAAUCCAAGAAAGAAAAAAGGAAAUAGAGGAGCAAGUUGAGAAGGAAGAAAAAGAUAAAAAAGCUAUAGAAGAAUAUGAAAAAUGGCUGGAAAAGAAAGAACUGAAGGACAGAAUCCAGAAAAAGCAAAAGAAGCUCCAGGUUAUCCUUGAAGAUGAAACGCUCCCUCCCUGGAGUCCACCUGGCAAAGCUGUGUCUUCAAGGAGCUAUUGAGAAUGCCCAUUGUUGUGAGGAAAGUUCCAGAAUUCUGCACAACAUCUGAUUUUAAUGAGAAUUGAAAAUGGCUCUUGCAUCCUUUCUUUAAAGUGAUGAUUUGGCUCUCUGACGUAACACCAUAUGUCUAAAUAAGUGGUACUCAGUGUAUAGCCCCCAGUAUGCAAGAAUGCAGUUUACACAAAGAAUUCCACUGUCCUAUAUAGGACUGAGCACUGGGAAACCAGUUGCAGGUUCUGCAGCAGAGCUGCCUUGCACGGUGCUGAUUGUCCCGCUGCCGACCCUGCACAACACUCAUUCCCCCGAAACAGCGUUUAGGAUAUUUUGCAAAUGGAUUCUGCUUGAAAAAAAAACUGUGCCAAAGGAAAUGUUAAAUGCAUGAACGUUCAUGUAACACAAUCCAUUUGAAAAACCAUUGUAGACUAAUUUGGGAAGAGGGGAGGGAGGGUUACAGUGUGCAGCGGGCUCUUCAGCAAAACUUGCAGAACCAGUGAUUGCAGGAAAAAGAGCCAGCAGGGACUGCUGUUAACAACAAAUGAAUGUGUGUUUUAAAAAUGAAACACUGCAAUGCUUGGAGCCGCAGCUCACCCACCUACAGUAAUCAAAUCAAGUCAAGUUUAUUAUUACGAUCCAGGAGCUACAAUAAUCUAAAUUAACCUUUUUUGUUGUGUCUGUUGUGAGAAUUAUCACUCCUGUUUAGAAAGCCUUGCUCAUUAUAGAACCAGUAAUGUAACUGUUUUAUUGGAAGUUGGGAUAUUGGAUGUCCAGCAUAAGUUUGAUGCUGUCCAUGCACCCCAAACUUCAGCAUUGCCUGUAGGCAUGACUUUCUUCAUUUCUGGCCAAGCCCCUUGGCACUUGCCCUCUCUUUAUAGUGUGGAGACACAAGGAGCGCCUGGCUGUGACUGCAGUUUGCUGCCUACCCAGCAGCUCAGGCAGUUCCUGGGCUGUUUGGACUGGCAGAAGUAGCAGCUUUUUCUGAAUCUGUUUGCCAGUCAGAUCUGUGGAGAUAAAAAGAAAGCAGAUGGGGAUGGCAAAGGGAAGGAAGGACAGCCGUCUUCAUCCCUCAUCCUUGACCCCUCUUUAUUACAAGUCUCCACUUGUUAUUUUAAAUGAGUGUCUGUUGCAGGGGACAGUCCUGAUUAUUAUUUUGCAGGUGCUGGCAGAAAGAAAGUGUAUUUGCCAUACGAAGGAGAAAUGACUCCGUAAAAAUAAAUGGGCAAUUAAUUAAAACUUAUUUUGGAAUCUUUCCCAGCUUUUAGCAAAAGCAUACACUUCAGAAGCUUACUUUGUUACACUAAACUUAGCAAUAUGUAUAAAUUUAUUGGAGAUUUUGGCAGACGUUGGUAUGUUGUUUUUCUGAAACUGUAAAGAAUUAAAUUCUCUUUUGACUCAAGAAACUAUUUCAGGCACAAUGUGCAAAAUUCUUUUGAGGUUGUCUUGGCAGAAUCAGAAUAGAAACUAGUAUACUUUCCAUUGCAACUCUUUUUACAAUAGCAAACUAUUAGCAUUCCUUCUGCCUUCUUUUGGCUGGAGGGGGGAGCUUUUAAAACAAUUGAGAGAUAAACAAGCAGUACUGUCUUGUCUCCCUACUUUCCAAAUACUUCCUGUUACUAAUACAGACUUUUCUGUUUCACUCUAAAACAAUGAAUGCGGGUCUUUCUUGCAGGGAAGAUGCACCGUAAACAUAACACAAUUAGAUGUACUGUCUUUUUCCUUGUUUUAAACUUUUCUAGCACAUUAUGGCUGAAAUACUUUGAAUGUACCAAGUUCCAAGACAGCCCAAACUCUCAAGCAUAAAAAAAGUUAUUUAACUGAAAUGGGCCUACAAAUUUAGCACAUAAAAAGCAUUUUGGGGCAGGAACAUGCUGGCAAUGGAUAGAUUGUCCUAUAUGACAAAUCAUAAGUAUGUUCUGUCAUCACAAGCGUGUGAUCUGCUUGUUUUUUCCUACACCAAAGUAGUUACCAUUGCUACCUGAUAAUUUUUUUCUAAAUAUAUGUUACAAUUUAUGCCAGGUUGCUAAUAAGCAAUCAUAAUUAUUGCUAGAAAAAAUUCUUUUUCAUUCUAUAUUUAGUGACUGGGACCCCGCCCUAAGAGUUUGCCAUUUAAUCAAGUAAAACAGACCAAAAUGGAGGGAAAAUGAGAGAAGUUAACUUAAUUUUGAUAAAGCUUGUUUAUAGGUUAAGAAUAGUGCACACACUGAUUAAUUGAUACAAGAAAGAUGUGGCAAUGUAAGGCUUAUGUCGGCUCAGGUAAGUUUCUUUUUUCUUCCUUACUGAAUCUGUAUAUUGUAUAUUAUACAAAAUGAGAUGUUUAAGAAUAGUCUAGGACAAAUGUUCAAAAAUACAAAGUCCCCCCAUCUUGUACAUGGUUCAGAUGUAAUUCAAAAUGAGGGCUUCUUCCAUUACUGAGCAAUCCUUGUGUUGCCAUGCCCCCCCUUAAACCCCUCCCCCCUCCCGUCAUGCACUCCGAGUCCAUUAGUAUCCUCAGCUUUAGUGUAACCACCAUUGCAGCCAAACUGGCAAACUAUUUAGUGUUUCUUCUCUAAACUAGGACAGCAACCUGGUUUGCAAUUUUAGUUUGGAUAGGUAGCAUAUAAUACUGUUUUGUGUUUUAUUAAAAUGCAUUUUUGGAGUUCCUUUUAUUCUGAAAUUCUUGCAUAUGAUUGCAUAUGAAAGAAUUUGCAUAUAUGAGAUAGCACUGUAUUUCUAUGGUAUGUACAUUCUUGUUACAUGCAAGCAAAAAACUGAUGGUAGUGUGUAAAACUGAACAGCCUGAGUUUAA